GAUGCCUACGGGACGCAGCAGUGGGGAAUAUUGCGCAAUGGGCGAAAGCCUGACGCAGCGACGCCGCGUGAGGGACGAAGGCCCUCGGGCUGUAAACCGCUUUCAGCAGGGAAGACAUCGACGGUACCUGCAGAAGAAGCUCCGGCUAACUACGUGCCAGCAGCCGCGGUAAUACGUAGGGGGCGAGCGUUAUCCGGAUUCAUUGGGCGUAAAGCGCGCGUAGGCGGCCGCCUAAGCGGAACCUCUAACCCCGGGGCUCAACCCCGGGCCGGGUUCCAGAC
RNAcentral lists this ribosomal RNA (281 nucleotides) under uncultured bacterium. Its description in RNAcentral is "partial 16S ribosomal RNA". It matches the Rfam family "Bacterial small subunit ribosomal RNA", at positions 334 to 633 of the family's 1533-position model. The record is from RNAcentral.